AUGGCGGCCGCGGCUGCGUCACAUGACCCGGGCCACGCCCCUGCGGGGCGUACCACUUCGCGCCGGCGGGGGAGCCACGGCCCGGGACACGCGAGCGGCCGGCUGACCAUCCCCAGGCUGCGCUGCCAGCCCGUCGGCCCGGCCCUGGCGCCAGGCCCCGCGCCCUCGGCCUCUGCGGGCCCUGCGCCCCAGCCAGAUGUCAUCUCCAUCCGACAGCUCUGGCUCCCCGGUGCCCUCUCCAUCGCGUCCCUUUCAGGAGCCCUGGGCAGCUGCCACCAGGCCCGGGUCUCCCUUGAGCCCUCAGCCCGGAGUCCGUGGGUGGCUGCGGCUGCCCCGCGCCGGCAGCCGGGACUGGGAGCGCCCCCGCCCCGGCCCGCUACCCCGCCGGCCGGGCGCAGCGGCGCGUGGAGGUGCCAGCCGGGCCUCGCCCCGGGCAUCGCCGGCGCCCUUCACCUGUGCCACGGCCCGGCGGCCGCCCUCGCUUUCUGCAGGAGAGAGCUAAGCUUGUCUGCUGGGUACUUGCAGCUAGAGCGUAAAAGGAGAGAUUUCACCUCUUCUGGGAGUAGGAAGCUCUACUUUGACACCCAUGCCUUAGUGUGCUUACUUGAAGAAAAUGGGUUUACUACUCAACAAGCAGAAAUCAUUGUAUCUGCAUUGGUCAAGAUCAUGGAGGCCAACAUGGAUGUCGUCUACAAAGACACGGUCACCAAGAUGCAGCAGGGGAUCACUCUUCAGCAAACAAUGUCUCAGAUUGCUAAUGUGAAAAAGGAUAUGAUUAUUUUGGAGAAGAGUGAAUUUUCAGCCCUCAGAGCAGAAAAUGAGAAAAUAAAACUCGAACUACAUCAAUUAAAACAACAAGUAAUGGAUGAAGUGAUCAAAGUCCGAACAGAUACCAAGUUAGACUUCAAUCUAGAAAAGAGCAGAGUAAGAAUUGUAUCAAUGACAAAGGAAGCUGCUGGAAUUAAAACAGAAAAUAAUGGCAUUGCAUGCCCAGCAGGACCGGGCCCUCACCCAAACAGACAGGAAGAUAGAAACUGAGGUUGCCGGCCUCAAAACCAUGCUCGAGUCGCACAAGCUUGAUAAUAUUAAAUAGCUUAGCAGGUUCUAUAUUUACGUGCCUAACAGUAGUUUCUGAAAAAAUAAUUCAUUAA
Microcebus murinus (gray mouse lemur) is the source of this 1151-nucleotide non-coding RNA. The record is from RefSeq and is a predicted model, not a curated record. NCBI's taxonomy places the organism in Eukaryota, Metazoa, Chordata, Mammalia, Primates, Cheirogaleidae.